RNAcentral lists this long non-coding RNA (703 nucleotides) under Olea europaea subsp. europaea. The record is from RNAcentral. Lineage: Eukaryota; Viridiplantae; Streptophyta; Magnoliopsida; Lamiales; Oleaceae.
AUUCAGAGCAAAUAAUCGAGGUUGAAAUUCACUACAUUACAUCAAUCUGCUUGCAAUUCACUUCAACUCCAUUCCCAUACAUACUACAUUACACUAAUACAUACUAUUAGAAAAACAAACUAAUAAAAAUAAAUAUAAGGAGUGCCCAAAAUGCAACCUUGUACAUCUUUAGAAUUUUUCAAUUUUUCCUAUUCUCUUCUUCGAGUCUGUUCUUUGAACACAGUAGCCCGUUUAUUACAAGCGUGUACCCAACAUCCGAUGACUCAUCGACCCAAUCAAAGAAAUUGCACGCUUCAGGCUUCCCAUAGAAACGACAUCUAAUAAACCUCCAUCCGAGAUUUGUUCCCGUCCAUUAAGUCCUCACACAUCCCAAGUGACCACAAUAGCAUAAGCUUUGUGCACCUCUCUAUCCGGGUGCUUCGGAUAUUAUCACCGCAUUGCCUCCGUUCGGCUACAAAUUGUUUGAGGUGCUAGCGUUCUGCUACUAGGUUAUGGGCUACAAUCAGAUGGGAGUAGAACAAUGUGAAUAUUUUGGUAUGAUUUAUGGAGAAGAUGAAGGAAUGGGUAGGGUUUUUUAGGAGCUUCCACUUCAUUAAUUUGGGGAAGAACAAGGGCAUGAAUUUGAGCUUCCAGUUGUGUGUUUUUAUGUUUUCUUUCAUUUUUUUUAAAACGUGAUUUGUGAAAAAAAGGAAAUCGUGUCCAC